UAAUACAUCGGAACGUGCCCAGUCGUGGGGGAUAACUACUCAAGAGUAGCUAAUACCGCAUACGAUCUGAGGAUGAAAGCGGGGGACUUUCGGGCCUCGCGAUUGGAGCGGCCGAUGGCAGAUUAGGUAGUUGGUGGGAUAAAAGCUUACCAAGCCGGAUCUGUAGCUGGUCUGAGAGGACGACCAGCCACACUGGGACUGAGACACGGCCCAGACCUACGGGAGGCAGCAGUGGGGAAUUUUGGACAAUGGGCGAAAGCCUGAUCCAGCAAUCGCGUGCAGGAUGAAGGCCUUCGGGUUGUAAACUGCUUUUGUACGGAACGAAAAAGCUUCCUAAUACGAGAGGCCCAUGACGGUACCGUAAGAAUAAGCACCGGCUAACUACGUGCGCAGCCGCGGUAAUACGUAGGGUGCGAGCGUUAAUCGGAAUUACUGGGCGUAAAGCGUGCAGGCGGUUAUGUAAGACAGAUGUGAAAUCCCCGGGCUCAACCUGGGAACUGCAUUUGACUGCAUGGCUAGAGUACGGUAGAGGGGGAUGGAAUUCCGCGUGUAGCAGUGAAAUGUAGAUAUGCGGAGGAACACCGAUGGCGAAGGCAAUCCCCUGGACCUGUACUGACGCUCGCACGAAAGCGUGGGGAGCAAACAGGAUUAGAUACCCUGGUAGUCCACGCCCUAAACGGUCAACUGGUUGUUGGGAAUUAGUUUUCUCAGUAACGAAGCUAACGCGUGAAGUGACC
Molecule: ribosomal RNA, 737 nt
Filed under: uncultured bacterium
Lineage: Bacteria
Description: bacterial SSU rRNA
Rfam family: Bacterial small subunit ribosomal RNA
Source: RNAcentral